RNAcentral lists this ribosomal RNA (253 nucleotides) under uncultured bacterium. Its description in RNAcentral is "partial 16S ribosomal RNA". It matches the Rfam family "Bacterial small subunit ribosomal RNA", at positions 524 to 776 of the family's 1533-position model. The record is from RNAcentral.
UACGAAGGGGGCUAGCGUUGCUCGGAAUCACUGGGCGUAAAGGGUGCGUAGGCGGCCAACUAAGUCAGACGUGAAAUCCCUCGGCUUAACCGGGGAACUGCGUCUGAUACUGGAUGGCUUGAAUCCGGGAGAGGGAUGCGGAAUUCCAGGUGUAGCGGUGAAAUGCGUAGAUAUCUGGAGGAACACCGGUGGCGAAGGCGGCAUCCUGGACCGGCAUUGACGCUGAGGAGCGAAAGCCAGGGGAGCAAACGGG